GACGAACGCUGGCGGCAUGCCUAAUACAUGCAAGUCGAGCGAACAGAUGAAGUGCUUGCACUUCUGACGUUAGCGGCGAACGGGUGAGUAACACGUAAGGAAUCUACCUAUAAGCGGGGGAUAACAUUCGGAAACGGGUGCUAAUACCGCAUAAUAUCUUCUUCCGCAUGGAAGAAGAUUGAAAGACGGCUCUGCUGUCACUUAUAGAUGACCUUGCGGUGCAUUAGUUAGUUGGUGGGGUAAUGGCCUACCAAGACGAUGAUGCAUAGCCGACCUGAGAGGGGGAACGGCCACAUUGGGACGCGGAAACUGCCCAAACUCCUACGGGAGGCGGCAGUAGGGAAUCUUCCGCAAUGGGCGAAAGCCUGACGGAGCAAUGCCGCGUGAGUGAAGAAGGCCUUCGGGUCGUAAAACUCUGUUAUAAGAGAAGAACAAAUUGUAGAGUAACUGCUACAGUCUUGACGGUAUCUUAUCAGAAAGCCACGGCUAACUACGUGCCAGCCGCCGCCGUAA
Molecule: ribosomal RNA, 513 nt
Filed under: uncultured bacterium
Lineage: Bacteria
Description: partial 16S ribosomal RNA
Rfam family: Bacterial small subunit ribosomal RNA
Source: RNAcentral